CACGCACACAGAUCCAGUCAUUGUUUCAGGUUGCACAGUCUGCGCGCGCGUCUGCCCCCUAGUGACAAAAUGGAAUUACAGACAGUUACAAAAGCCAACUUGUUUGAAAACAGGACCGGCAAGGUAGGGGGCCUUCUUAUAAUCAGGCCCGUCUUAUACUCAGGCUAAUACGGUACUACACAGCUCUUGAUCGCGAAACCAAUUGGUAGUCCUGGUUAAAGAACACAGCAUUCCUUAUAUGGCCCCCUGGCCUACAAAGACUGCAUACGCUUUGUUUUGAUCAUAUUGAAGAAGCUUUUGUAAAUACACUUCCACAAAAA
This is a long non-coding RNA of Hippocampus zosterae (dwarf seahorse), 320 nucleotides long. RefSeq lists it as uncharacterized. The record is from RefSeq and is a predicted model, not a curated record. NCBI's taxonomy places the organism in Eukaryota, Metazoa, Chordata, Actinopteri, Syngnathiformes, Syngnathidae. The transcript has 2 exons.